AGUAACGCGUGGGUAACCUGCCCUUAAGUCUGGGAUACCAUUUGGAAACAGAUGCUAAUACCGGAUAAAAGCUACUUUCGCAUGAAAGAAGUUUAAAAGGCGGCGUAAGCUGUCGCUAAAGGAUGGACCUGCGAUGCAUUAGCUAGUUGGUAAGGUAACGGCUUACCAAGGCGAUGAUGCAUAGCCGAGUUGAGAGACUGAUCGGCCACAUUGGGACUGAGACACGGCCCAAACUCCUACGGGAGGCAGCAGGA
RNAcentral lists this ribosomal RNA (254 nucleotides) under uncultured Lactobacillus sp. Its description in RNAcentral is "partial 16S ribosomal RNA". It matches the Rfam family "Bacterial small subunit ribosomal RNA", at positions 109 to 354 of the family's 1533-position model. Lineage: Bacteria; Bacillati; Bacillota; Bacilli; Lactobacillales; Lactobacillaceae. The record is from RNAcentral.